UACGAGGGGGGCGAGCGUUGUUCGGAAUUAUUGGGCGUAAAGGGUGCGUAGGCGGUUUGGUAAGUCUUAUGUGAAAUCUACAGGCUCAACUUGUAGUCUGCAUGAGAAACUGCCGGGCUUGAGUAUGGGAGAGGUGAGUGGAAUUCCUGGUGUAGCGGUGAAAUGCGUAGAUAUCAGAAGGAACACCUGUGGCGAAAGCGGCUCACUGGACCAUAACUGACGCUGAGGCGCGAAAGCUAGGGGAGCAAACAGG
RNAcentral lists this ribosomal RNA (253 nucleotides) under uncultured bacterium. RNAcentral describes it as "partial 16S ribosomal RNA". It matches the Rfam family "Bacterial small subunit ribosomal RNA", at positions 524 to 776 of the family's 1533-position model. The record is from RNAcentral.